Molecule: ribosomal RNA, 420 nt
Filed under: uncultured bacterium
Lineage: Bacteria
Description: bacterial SSU rRNA
Rfam family: Bacterial small subunit ribosomal RNA
Source: RNAcentral
CCGCAAUGGGGGAAACCCUGACGAAGCGACGCCGCGUGCAGGAUGACGGCCCUCGGGUUGUAAGCUGCUGUCAGCUGGGAAGAAAAAGCAGCCAACUAAUACCUGGCAGCCUUGACGGUACCAGCAGAGGAAGCCACGGCUAACUCUGUGCCAGCAGCCGCGGUAAUACAGAGGUGGCAAGCGUUGUUCGGAUUUAUUGGGCGUAAAGGGUUCGUAGGCGGUUUGAAAAGUCGGAUGUGAAAUCUCACAGCUCAACUGUGAAACUGCAUUCGAAACUCUCAAACUUGAGCAUGAGAGGGGUAAAGGGAAUUCUCAGUGUAAGGGUGGAAUCUGCAGAGAUUGGGAAGAACACCAGUCGCGAAGGCGCUUUACUGGCUCAUUACUGACGCUGAGGGACGAAAGCUAGGGUAGCUAAAGGGA